This 231-nucleotide long non-coding RNA is filed under the name Durio zibethinus. Its description in RNAcentral is "long non-coding RNA (DZIB_LNC002314)". Lineage: Eukaryota; Viridiplantae; Streptophyta; Magnoliopsida; Malvales; Malvaceae. The record is from RNAcentral.
AACGUUUUUGAAAAGAAUUCUCGUUUUUUCUUUUUUUUUUUGCCAAUUUUAAUUAUUUUAAUUAUUUUCUUCAGAUUCUUUCUAUUCUAUGUAACUAUGAAAGGUUGACUAGAUUGAUUGACUGAAUCAUAAGAAAAGAUCCUUAGAUCUAUGAACUUCAAUGAUUACCAAGGAUGAAUCGAGUUUUAACGAGAAAAAUGGCAUUUGGCGUGAAUCAAGUUCUAAAGCUAA